This 1952-nucleotide ribosomal RNA is filed under the name human gut metagenome. RNAcentral's name for it is "bacterial LSU rRNA". It matches the Rfam family "Bacterial large subunit ribosomal RNA", at positions 1 to 1976 of the family's 2925-position model. The record is from RNAcentral.
CAAAGUUAAUAAGGGCGCACGGUGGAUGCCUUGGCACUAAGAGCCGAAGAAGGACGUGACUAACGACGAUAUUCUAGGGGGAGCAGUAAGUACGCAUUGAUCCCUAGGUCUCCGAAUGGGGAAACCCAGCUGCUACUAGCAGUUAUUCAUGAGUGAAUACAUAGCUCAUGUAAAGGUAACGCAGAGAACUGAAACAUCUAAGUACCUGCAGGAAGAGAAAGUAAAAACGAUUUCGUAAGUAGCGGCGAGCGAACGCGAAGAAGGGCAAACCAAGAAGCUUGCUUCUUGGGGUUGUAGGACUGCAACGUGGACUUAAGCAUUAUAGUCGAAUAACCUGGGAAGGUUAAUCAAAGAGGGUAAUAAUCCCGUAGACGAAAUAGCGCUUAUACCUAGCAGUAUCCUGAGUAGGGCUGGACACGCGAAAUCCAGUUUGAAUCCGGGAGGACCAUCUCCCAACCCUAAAUACUCCUUAGUGACCGAUAGUGAACCAGUACCGUGAGGGAAAGGUGAAAAGAACCCCGAGAGGGGAGUGAAAUAGCACCUGAAACCGUGUGCCUACAAGAAGUUCGAGCCCGUUAAUGGGUGAGAGCGUGCCUUUUGUAGAAUGAACCGGCGAGUUACGUUAUGAUGCGAGGUUAAGUUGAAGAGACGGAGCCGUAGGGAAACCGAGUCUGAAUAGGGCGACUUAGUAUCAUGAUGUAGACCCGAAACCUAGUGACCUAUCCAUGAGCAGGGUGAAGGUGUGGUAAGACGCACUGGAGGCCCGAACCAGGACACGUUGAAAAGUGUUUGGAUGACUUGUGGAUAGCGGAGAAAUUCCAAACGAACUGGGAGAUAGCUGGUUCUCUCCGAAAUAGCUUUAGGGCUAGCGUCGAAAUGUAAGUGUAUUGGAGGUAGAGCACUGUUUGGGUGAGGGGUCCGUCUAGGAUUACCAAUCUCAGAUAAACUCCGAAUGCUAAUACACAUGUUCGGCAGUCAGACUGCGAGUGCUAAGAUCCGUAGUCGAAAGGGAAACAGCCCAGACCAACAGCUAAGGUCCCAAAAUAUAUGUUAAGUGGAAAAGGAUGUGGGGUUGCACAGACAACUAGGAUGUUAGCUCAGAAGCAGCUAUCAUUCAAAGAGUGCGUAAUAGCUCACUAGUCGAGUGACCCUGCGCCGAAAAUGUACCGGGGCUAAACAUAUUACCGAAGCUUUGGAUUGAUAUUUUAUCAAUGGUAGGAGAGCGUUCUUAACCGCGAAGAAGGUAUACCGUGAGGAGUGCUGGAGCGUUAAGAAGUGAGAAUGCCGGUAUGAGUAGCGCAAGAUAAGUGAGAAUCUUAUCCACCGUAAGACUAAGGUUUCCAGGGGAAGGCUCGUCCGCCCUGGGUUAGUCGGGACCUAAGGCGAGGCCGAAAGGCGUAGUCGAUGGACAACUGGUUGAUAUUCCAGUACUAGAUAUGAUCGUGAUGGAGGGACGCAGUAGGCUAAGAGAUGCCAGUUAAUGGAUUCUGGUCUAAGCAGUGAGGUGUGAGAUGUGUCAAAUGCAUUUCUCUCUAACAUUGAGCUGUGAUGGGGAAGCAACUACGGUUGCGAACUCUCUGAUGUCACACUGCCAAGAAAAGCUUCUAGCGUAAAGUCAUAUCUACCCGUACCGCAAACCGACACAGGUAGUCGAGGCGAGUAGCCUCAGGUGAUCGAGAGAACUCUCGUUAAGGAACUCGGCAAAAUAGCCCCGUAACUUCGGGAGAAGGGGUGCUGGUGUAAAAGCCAGCCGCAGUGAAUAGGCCCAAGCAACUGUUUAUCAAAAACACAGCUCUCUGCUAAACCGCAAGGUGAUGUAUAGGGGGUGACGCCUGCCCGGUGCUGGAAGGUUAAGAGGAGUGCUUAGACGUAAGUCGAAGGUAUGAAUUGAAGCCCCAGUAAACGGCGGCCGUAACUAUAACGGUCCUAAGGUAGCGAAAUUCCUUGUCGGG